Molecule: ribosomal RNA, 951 nt
Filed under: Micrococcus sp. 1153-i3N
Lineage: Bacteria; Bacillati; Actinomycetota; Actinomycetes; Micrococcales; Micrococcaceae
Description: SSU rRNA
Rfam family: Bacterial small subunit ribosomal RNA
Source: RNAcentral
UGGGCGUAAGAGCUCGUAGGCGGUUUGUCGCGUCUGUCGUGAAAGUCCGGGGCUUAACCCCGGAUCUGCGGUGGGUACGGGCAGACUAGAGUGCAGUAGGGGAGACUGGAAUUCCUGGUGUAGCGGUGGAAUGCGCAGAUAUCAGGAGGAACACCGAUGGCGAAGGCAGGUCUCUGGGCUGUAACUGACGCUGAGGAGCGAAAGCAUGGGGAGCGAACAGGAUUAGAUACCCUGGUAGUCCAUGCCGUAAACGUUGGGCACUAGGUGUGGGGACCAUUCCACGGUUUCCGCGCCGCAGCUAACGCAUUAAGUGCCCCGCCUGGGGAGUACGGCCGCAAGGCUAAAACUCAAAGGAAUUGACGGGGGCCCGCACAAGCGGCGGAGCAUGCGGAUUAAUUCGAUGCAACGCGAAGAACCUUACCAAGGCUUGACAUGUUCUCGAUCGCCGUAGAGAUACGGUUUCCCCUUUGGGGCGGGUUCACAGGUGGUGCAUGGUUGUCGUCAGCUCGUGUCGUGAGAUGUUGGGUUAAGUCCCGCAACGAGCGCAACCCUCGUUCCAUGUUGCCAGCACGUNAUGGUGGGGACUCAUGGGAGACUGCCGGGGUCAACUCGGAGGAAGGUGAGGACGACGUCAAAUCAUCAUGCCCCUUAUGUCUUGGGCUUCACGCAUGCUACAAUGGCCGGUACAAUGGGUUGCGAUACUGUGAGGUGGAGCUAAUCCCAAAAAGCCGGUCUCAGUUCGGAUUGGGGUCUGCAACUCGACCCCAUGAAGUCGGAGUCGCUAGUAAUCGCAGAUCAACAACGCUGCGGUGAAUACGUUCCCGGGCCUUGUACACACCGCCCGUCAAGUCACGAAAGUUGGUAACACCCAAGCCGGUGGGCUAACCCUUGUGGGGGGAGCCGUCGAAAGGUGGGACCAGCGAUUGGGACUAAUUCUAACAAGGUAACCAA